Molecule: long non-coding RNA, 484 nt
Filed under: Trifolium pratense (red clover)
Lineage: Eukaryota; Viridiplantae; Streptophyta; Magnoliopsida; Fabales; Fabaceae
Description: long non-coding RNA (TPRA_LNC009367)
Source: RNAcentral
CACAGAAUAAAUAAUUCGAAACGAAAUUGAAAUGGCAUAAACGAAGUAAAAGUGCCAUAAAAGGCAAUUGUCAAGGUUACAAACCAAAUAAAACAAAACCAGAUAAUUGUUCGAGAAAUAAAAGCAAAACAUCAAAAGAAAAUCUAAGACAAACACUUCGAUUUGAAAUCAACAUAAUGGUCCUUAAUAAGGCCAACUUCGACAGUCUGGAUCUUGAUUGCGUCUUCGAGAGAUUUGAUCUCUUCUUUGAUCACAGUGGCAGCACUGAAGUGAGAAAUACCUUCCUUCGCAGCUUUGUGGAUAGAUUCUUGAGUGGUGGCAGCAACAGCUUCUUCAAUCUUUACACGCUUUGCUUUCUCUUCAAGAAUCUUUUUCUCUCGAUCAGCAAUCUCAGCUCGAAAAGAAUCUAUUUCUGCCUCCCAUUUGGAAAUAUUGUUGGUACAUUCUUGAAUCCCAAGACCUGGUUGCUGAACUUGUGCUUUCA